CCUACGGGAGGCAGCAGUGAGGAAUAUUGGUCAAUGGACGAGAGUCUGAACCAGCCAAGCAGCGUGAAGGAUGACUGCCCUAUGGGUUGUAAACUUCUUUUAUAUGGGAAUAAAAUGUUACACGUGUGGGAUUUUGUAUGUACCAUAUGAAUAAGGAUCGGCUAACUCCGUGCCAGCAGCCGCGGUAAUACGGAGGAUCCGAGCGUUAUCCGGAUUUAUUGGGUUUAAAGGGUGCGUAGGUGGGUUGUUAAGUCAGUUGUGAAAGUUUGCGGCUCAACCGUAGAAUUGCAGCUGAAACUGUCAGUCUAGAGUGCAGUAGAGGUAGGCGGAAUGCGUGGUGUAGCGGUGAAAUGCUUAGAUAUCACGAAGAACUCCGAUUGCGAAGGCAGCUCACUGGACUGCAACUGACGCUGAGGCACGAAAGUGUGGGUAUCAAACAGGAUUAGAUACCCUUGUAGUC
This 460-nucleotide ribosomal RNA is filed under the name uncultured bacterium. RNAcentral describes it as "partial 16S ribosomal RNA". It matches the Rfam family "Bacterial small subunit ribosomal RNA", at positions 338 to 795 of the family's 1533-position model. The record is from RNAcentral.